Molecule: non-coding RNA, 203 nt
Organism: Pelobates cultripes (western spadefoot toad)
Lineage: Eukaryota; Metazoa; Chordata; Amphibia; Anura; Pelobatidae
Source: the annotation of a GenBank genome assembly
CCGGUUUUACAGAGCCCAUAGUUUCAGAUAGUCCCUUUUUAAAUGCAGAGAUUAACCCACUAUUAGUCCAGUCUACCUCGGAAGCUAGGGUACGAAAUUCUAUGGCAUACUUCGAGAUAGACCAGUUCCCUUGUCUGAUAUGCAUCAGGGCAGUAGAGGCGUCUUCCUCCCUGCCUAAUGGUUCAAACGUAAGUUUAAAUUCU